Molecule: ribosomal RNA, 253 nt
Filed under: uncultured bacterium
Lineage: Bacteria
Description: partial 16S ribosomal RNA
Rfam family: Bacterial small subunit ribosomal RNA
Source: RNAcentral
UACGUAGGGGGCAAGCGUUGUCCGGAAUUAUUGGGCGUAAAGGGCUCGUAGGCGGUUUGUCGCGUCGGGAGUGAAAACUCAGGGCUUAACCCUGAGCCUGCUUCCGAUACGGGCAGACUAGAGGUAUGCAGGGGAGAACGGAAUUCCUGGUGUAGCGGUGAAAUGCGCAGAUAUCAGGAGGAACACCGGUGGCGAAGGCGGUUCUCUGGGCAUUACCUGACGCUGAGGAGCGAAAGUGUGGGGAGCGAACAGG